Molecule: transfer RNA, 76 nt
Filed under: Arsenophonus sp.
Lineage: Bacteria; Pseudomonadati; Pseudomonadota; Gammaproteobacteria; Enterobacterales; Morganellaceae
Description: tRNA-Asn
Rfam family: tRNA
About the family: Transfer RNA (tRNA) molecules are approximately 80 nucleotides in length. Their secondary structure includes four short double-helical elements and three loops (D, anti-codon, and T loops).
Source: RNAcentral
UCCUCCAUAGUUCAGUCGGUAGAACAGCGGACUGUUAAUCCGCGUGUCACUGGUUCGAAUCCAGUUGGAGGAGCCA